This 490-nucleotide ribosomal RNA is filed under the name uncultured bacterium. Its description in RNAcentral is "partial 16S ribosomal RNA". It matches the Rfam family "Bacterial small subunit ribosomal RNA", at positions 30 to 507 of the family's 1533-position model. The record is from RNAcentral.
AUUGAACGCUGGCGGCAGGCCUAACACAUGCAAGUCGAACGGUAACAGGAAGCAGCUUGCUGCUUCGCUGACGAGUGGCGGACGGGUGAGUAAUGUCUGGGAAGCUGCCUGAUGGAGGGGGAUAACUACUGGAAACGGUAGCUAAUACCGCAUAAUGUCGCAAGACCAAAGAGGGGGACCUUCGGGCCUUUUGCCAUCGGAUGUGCCCAGAUGGGAUUAGCUUGUUGGUGGGGUAACGGCUCACCAAGGCGACGAUCCCUAGCUGGUCUGAGAGGAUGACCAGCCACACUGGGACUGAGACACGGUCCAGACUCCUACGGGAGGCAGCAGUGGGGAAUAUUGCACAAUGGGCGCAAGCCUGAUGCAGCCAUGCCGCGUGUAUGAAGAAGGCCUUCGGGUUGUAAAGUACUUUCAGCGGGGAGGAAGGGAGUAAAGUUAAUACCUUUGCUCAUUGACGUUACCCGCAGAAGAAGCACCGGCUAACUCCGUG